RNAcentral lists this ribosomal RNA (112 nucleotides) under uncultured eukaryote. RNAcentral's name for it is "partial small subunit ribosomal RNA". It matches the Rfam family "Eukaryotic small subunit ribosomal RNA", at positions 1676 to 1785 of the family's 1831-position model. The record is from RNAcentral.
UCGCUACUACCGAUUGGAUGGUUUAGUGAGGCUCACGGACUGCCGCGGAAGGAGGGUUCGCUCUUCUCCUGCGAUUGGAAGUGAAACAAACUUGAUCAUCUAGAGGAAGUAA